UUUUUUUUUUGACAAACACCUCUUCUUUUUUACUCACUCCAAAAGUCUAGCUUUUAAGUUUUAACUAUUGUUUCUAGACUUUCUUGGUCUUUAAUAUGAAUUUAUAAUUAUUUUGGGGUCAAAUCUAAUAACAACAAUUAUUUUUCCCCAAUUGUAAUAACUAUUUAGCCCAUUUUCUUUUCCCUUCUCCACUAUUUCUAGAUAUUUCUUCCCAAUUCCGAAUUACACGUGUGGUUUAAACAAUGCAAUGGGAAAUUAAAUUGCCAUUUUUUUCAUUUUUUUUCUCAAAAUUAUUAAUGAGGUCAUAGAGAAUAAUUCCAAAUUACACAUACAUUUUAAACAACGCAGCGGAAAAUUAAAUUGCCAAUUUUUCAUUUUUUUUCUCGAAAUUAUUAGUGAGGUCAUAGAGAAUGAGACACUAAUUAUGGGCAAAUAGCACUGCGCAUUGCGCGAUGCCACCCACAACUAGUAUAUAAAUGGGUAAAUAGCAAUUAAUCUCCCUGUGGUUACAGACUUAUGCAGAUGACCCCUUGUGGUGCUAAUAUCAGCACAUAACCCCCUUGUGGUUUGAAGGGGGUAGCACCCGUUAAGUUUUUUAACAGAACACGUUAAAUCUCUAAUUUGCCCAUCUAAAUAUAAGUAAUUUGCACAUAUACCAAUUAGCAUUAUUACGUGAAUUCCAUCAGAUUCUUCUUUUUUUUGAAAAGAUUUCCAUCAGAUUCAACUCGACGUACUUCUGUACUCUUAUCCUCUUUUCAUCUCUCUUAAUCUCAUAAAAAAAAUUGAGCUUAUGUACACAAUUCUAAGGAGAAGGAACUAAAGAUAUUCGGAAUGGUAAUUUCAAAGUAAGUUCUAGACAAACACAAAUUUCUUUGAGUGGGGUUUUGCCGUAAACAUGUUUUUACUUAAGAAUUUCGAACUGAAAUUAGGGGUUGUCAAAGGGUUUUUCGAACUGAAAUUUGGGGUUUAGAACUGAUUUUAGAUUUUUCGAAGAAAUUGGGGGUUUUGAAGAGUAAAAUGCAAAAAGUACCCCUGUGUAAUCUGUAAAUAGCAAAAACCCCCUGUGAUAAAUAAACUAGCA
RNAcentral lists this long non-coding RNA (1081 nucleotides) under Erythranthe guttata (spotted monkey flower). RNAcentral describes it as "long non-coding RNA (EGUT_LNC001842)". The record is from RNAcentral. Lineage: Eukaryota; Viridiplantae; Streptophyta; Magnoliopsida; Lamiales; Phrymaceae.